UAGAGCGCGGCACCGGAGCGUCAGGGCCCCUGCCAUCAGGACGUGCAGACCCCGUGCUCCUGGUACCUGGGAACCGUCGCCAUUGCUCUCCCGGAGGAAGUCGGCCAGAGAAAGGGGAGCGUCGUCCCGGACCAACAACAACACCUGAACAGCUAGAGUGAGGGGCCAGAGGGCGGGAGCCUCUGCAAGGCAGGCACGGCCAGAGGGUCACGGAAAUGGACAUUGCUGGCUGGGCCAAUAUCGAUUGCCUAUCCCCAUACACAUUUGAGAAGAUGAUGGCUGUUUCACUGACCAAUAGCCAUAUGUUGGCUUGGGCAGAAAGAGAUAUAGAGAUCUAUGAGGAUUUUGCUGGAAAGCUAUAACACAUGGACAGUAAUUUUUACCUUUCCCUUCUGAACCUUUUCCCUGUCCAGAAACUAAACACUCAUAAGGAAGAACUGAUUUUUUUUUCUUUGUAAUUAAACAAUCACCAAUUAAGCAGUUACAAACUGAGUCUACCAGAGGCAAUGUUACGAAAACCAAAGCCAAAAAAGGAAAAACAAGGAAGUAGUCUCAAUAAAAAUGCUGUUGGUGGGAUAAUAAUAUACCUUAUGGUAUCAAACUUCUCUAAAGGCUUCAGGUUUGCCAGUGGACACUAUGAAGUCCCUAUCCAAAGACAUGAAAUUGAGGCAGGCCAGCAGGAAUUAUUGUCACCUUCAUAGCCUCCUGCCUGAAUCUGUCGAUGUCUAUGUGAGCCACGCCCAGGAACCGGUCCUUGAGACGUGCCUUUGACUUGUCUGCCUGCCUUCACUGCACCAGGUACUUAAAGAUCUUUAGUACAGGGAAGUGCAACCAAAUAGAAGGGUUUAUUAGAGAUAAUUAAACAGGAGGUGCAACCUACCAUAAUCUAUAUACAUGUGGUCCACUGAUUGCAUGACAUUGAAAAACAAAAGAACUCAGUUGCCCUGGUGGGAUUUGAACCUGUUCCCCAGUGCGUAAACCUAGUGUACUUGACUCCCGAUGCUGUAGUGUUUCCUCAGCAUGCAACUCUGAAGAAGAUAUGAAUGAGAAAUUCCGUUCAUUGGUUUUCUCUUCAUGAAAUUGUGCUGGACUGGAUGCUGAAGUUUUCCCUCUUGAAUCAGUUUUUCCUGGAUCAGUUGAAUCCAUGUUCCGAGGAGUAAGUAUCAGCAACAAUCUGCCUUAGUCCGUUGAUGUUGACGCUACAGUUAAGAAAAUGCACCAAUGCCUCUACUUCCUCGGAAAGCUAAGGAAAUUUGGCAUAACAACAAUGAUUUUACCAAAUUUUAUAGAUGCACCAUAAAAAGCAUCCUAGCCAAAAACAUCACAGCUUGGUAUGGCAAUUGCUCUGCUCAAGACCAUAAGAAAUUACAGAGUUGUGAAUACAGCCCAGUCUAUCACACAAACCAGCCCUCCAUCCAUUGACUUCUCCUAUACUUCCAGUUGAUUCGGGAAAGCAGCCAACAUAAUCAAAGACCUCUCCCACCUUGGUUAUACUCUCUGGCACCCACUUUUAUUAGGCAGAAGAUACAAAAGUUUGAAAACGUGCAUCAACAGAUUCAAGACCAGCUUAGUCCUGGCUGUUAUGCGUCAGUCAUAGAGUUGAUCAUUCUCUGCACCUUCUCUGCGGCUGUAACACUAUGUAUUCUGAAAUCUGAUCUACUAACUUGAUAUAUAAGGUAUGAUUUGUCUGGAUAGCACCCAAAACAAUAACUUUCACUGUAUCUGGAUGCAUAUGACAAUAAUAAAUGUCUCACAAACUUGAUUGAA
Long non-coding RNA from Hemiscyllium ocellatum (epaulette shark), 1767 nucleotides. RefSeq lists it as uncharacterized. The record is from RefSeq and is a predicted model, not a curated record. The transcript has 2 exons. Lineage: Eukaryota; Metazoa; Chordata; Chondrichthyes; Orectolobiformes; Hemiscylliidae.